CCCAGUGGCGGACGGGUGAGUAACGCGUGGGUAACCUGCCCUGUACAGGGGGACAACAGCCGGAAACGGCUGCUAAUACCGCAUAAGCCCGCGGCGCCGCAUGGCGCUGUGGGGAAAACUCCGGUGGUACAGGAUGGGCCCGCGUCUGAUUAGCUAGUUGGCGGGGUAACGGCCCACCAAGGCAGCGAUCAGUAGCCGGCUUGAGAGAGUGGACGGCCACAUUGGGACUGAGACACGGCCCAGACUCCUACGGGAGGCAGCAG
Molecule: ribosomal RNA, 263 nt
Filed under: uncultured bacterium
Lineage: Bacteria
Description: partial 16S ribosomal RNA
Rfam family: Bacterial small subunit ribosomal RNA
Source: RNAcentral